This 67-nucleotide transfer RNA is filed under the name uncultured Fretibacterium sp. It matches the Rfam family "tRNA". From Rfam's summary of the family: Transfer RNA (tRNA) molecules are approximately 80 nucleotides in length. Their secondary structure includes four short double-helical elements and three loops (D, anti-codon, and T loops). Lineage: Bacteria; Thermotogati; Synergistota; Synergistia; Synergistales; Aminobacteriaceae. The record is from RNAcentral.
CUUGUAGCUCAGCUGGAUAGAGCAACGGCCUUCUAAGCCGUAGGUCGCGGGUUCGAAUCCUGCCGGG